GACGAACGCUGGCGGCGUGCUUAACACAUGCAAGUCGAGCGGUAAGGCCUUUCGGGGUACACGAGCGGCGAACGGGUGAGUAACACGUGGGUGAUCUGCCCUGCACUUCGGGAUAAGCCUGGGAAACUGGGUCUAAUACCGGAUAUGACCUCCUAUCGCAUGGUGGGUGGUGGAAAGAUUUAUCGGUGCAGGAUGGGCCCGCGGCCUAUCAGCUUGUUGGUGGGGUAAUGGCCUACCAAGGCGACGACGGGUAGCCGACCUGAGAGGGUGACCGGCCACACUGGGACUGAGACACGGCCCAGACUCCUACGGGAGGCGGCAGUGGGGAAUAUUGCACAAUGGGCGAAAGCCUGAUGCAGCGACGCCGCGUGAGGGAUGACGGCCUUCGGGUUGUAAACCUCUUUCAGCAGGGACGAAGCGCAAGUGACGGUACCUGCAGAAGAAGCACCGGCUAACUACGUG
RNAcentral lists this ribosomal RNA (462 nucleotides) under uncultured bacterium. RNAcentral describes it as "partial 16S ribosomal RNA". It matches the Rfam family "Bacterial small subunit ribosomal RNA", at positions 28 to 507 of the family's 1533-position model. The record is from RNAcentral.